Chelonia mydas (Green sea turtle) is the source of this 145-nucleotide long non-coding RNA. RefSeq lists it as uncharacterized. The record is from RefSeq and is a predicted model, not a curated record. The transcript has 5 exons. Lineage: Eukaryota; Metazoa; Chordata; Testudines; Cheloniidae.
CUGUAGUGACGGUGACCAUGGUCCCUUGGCCCCAGUAGUCAAAUGGGUCCAGAGGACAGGGAGGGCUUCUCGCACAGUAAUACCGGGCGGUGUCCUCGGAUUUCAGGCCGGUCAUCUGCAGAUACAGCAGGUUGUUGGGGUUGUC